CCUACGGGCGGCAGCAGUGAGGAAUAUUGGUCAAUGGACGAGAGUCUGAGCCAGCCAAGUAGCGUGAAGGAUGACUGCCCUAUGGGUUGUAAACUUCUUUUAUAUGGGAAUAAAAUGUUCCACGUGUGGGAUUUUGUAUGUACCAUAUGAAUAAGGAUCGGCUAACUCCGUGCCAGCAGCCGCGGUAAUACGGAGGAUCCGAGCGUUAUCCGGAUUUAUUGGGUUUAAAGGGAGCGUAGGUGGAUUGUUAAGUCAGUUGUGAAAGUUUGCGGCUCAACCGUAAAAUUGCAGUUGAAACUGGCAGUCUUGAGUACAGUAGAGGUGGGCGGAAUUCGUGGUGUAGCGGUGAAAUGCUUAGAUAUCACGAAGAACUCCGAUUGCGAAGGCAGCUCACUGGACUGCAACUGACACUGAGGCUCGAAAGCGUGGGUAGCAAACAGGAUUAGAUACCCCGGUAGUC
Molecule: ribosomal RNA, 460 nt
Filed under: uncultured bacterium
Lineage: Bacteria
Description: partial 16S ribosomal RNA
Rfam family: Bacterial small subunit ribosomal RNA
Source: RNAcentral